GAAAUGCGAUAAGUAGUGUGAAUUGCAGAAUUCAGUGAAUCAUCGAAUCUUUGAACGCAUAUUGCGCCCCUUGGUAUUCCAUGGGGCAUGCCUGUUCGAGCGUCAUUUGUACCCUCAAGCUCUGCUUGGUGUUGGGUGUUUGUCCCCGUCUCCGCGCGUGGACUCGCCCCAAAGUGAUUGGCAGCCGGCGUACUGGUCCCGGAGCGCAGCACAUGUCGCGCAAACGAGUGCCUUGGUACGGCGGCGUCCAUAAGCCCCUCUCUCACGCUCUUGACCUCGGAUCAGGUAGGGAUACCCGCUGAACUUAAGC
RNAcentral lists this unclassified non-coding RNA (310 nucleotides) under plant metagenome. RNAcentral describes it as "partial contains 5.8S ribosomal RNA, internal transcribed spacer 2, and large subunit ribosomal RNA". The stretch from base 1 to 105 matches the Rfam family "5.8S ribosomal RNA", at positions 50 to 154 of the family's 154-position model. The record is from RNAcentral.